UCCCGCGCUCGCCCUCCUCUCUCCCUCUCGAGCCUCCAUGGAGCCGCCGCCGGUGCUUUCCCGCUCAAUCCCCUUCGCCUACGCCCCGUGGAGCCCGUCUCUGGACCCUCGCAUCAGCCGCCGGCCUCCAACGGGGUGCGGAAGGAGGUGGGCGCGAAGGGCGGAGCAGGUGCGUGUCCCGGAGGAAGGAGGUGGUGGCGCUCUAGGGUCGAGGCUGUCGUCCCCGACCUCGCCAUCAUCCUCCGACUCCAGGCCGCCAAGGUCAUCCUUGACCAGCACGGUCGUCCUCGACCUCCUCAACCAGCAUGAGCAAGCGGAGUGGCCUAACCGUCGCCAGUCUGGAGCUCCUCCCUUCGACUUCGUGGCGUGCUCCGCUUCUUUGUUGUCACCGAGGACGCCCGACAGCGGCACAACAGCCUCUUCUUCAAAGAAGACCAUCAGCUGUGGAGUCCCUCAUGGUCGUGUCCGAUGAGGCGGAGGAGGAAGCCCUCCAUAGUGCUGCUGAUACUAGAGACGGCGGCGAGGUGAGCAUGGAGAAGCAGCAUAGCGGUGGGACACCCCGUCGCCUCUCGUGGCCAUGUUGGCUGCCAUCGUCUGCGAGCUGCUUGACAUGGAGUCUGUUGCCAGAGAGGAGGUGCGCUUCAGCUGCGUCGGCUCCAAGCUGAAGGAGUUGGCAAUGAUUCACGAGAAGAAACCAAUACUUCAGCAUCCCCAAGCAAGCUCGGUGGCGUUGUCACAAAGAUGGUUCAAAUCAUCUUAAAUGGAAGAGAGCGAUAUUGAUUUAUCACUGCUACAACAAAUGAACUAUUACUUGAGUCUCUUCUCGAUGUCCUUCCUUGCCGAGGUUUUGGUGUGUUUAGGACUUGAAGUCUUGAACUGAACCACAAGCGAGCAGGCUGAAGAAUAUGUGCAGCUAAAAGCUCCUUCGGAGAAAAGAAGAGCCAAGAGGAAGCUUUCCAUCUUCAACACAUAGAAGUAUUGCAGAACAAUAGCAACAUCAAGCAAUUUUGCUAUCCGCUCAUCAAGAAUUGGGAGCUAACUCUUUUUUUCCGCUGUAUGUGCGUUACAAAAACAGUAGGAGGAGAGGCGUGCAUGGACCAAUGCCAAGCGACCACAGGCCUGAAUCGUGGAGCUUCAUCUGUUAACCGAUGGCAAUGAGCAUAGGCGCGAGGAGGUGGUCUUGAGGAGAAGCUGCUUGAUGAGGUUGGUCUGUCGCCGAGCUUGACUGCAAGAUCCUCAUCUCUGUCUGCUGCAUGAGUAAGGUUGAAAUGGUCAAACAGGUUGAGACACUGGCAAUCUCUCUUGAGCUGCUCAAUUGAGCCUGAACCCAAUAAUGACGUGAAGUAAGGGGUUUAACUAAGCUGCAAAUGGAACAGCACAGGUCAUCGCUGUAUCUGAACUCACAUGUAAAGCAUGUACCCAAGAUCUUAUCUUCAUCAUGAUUCAUGUCUACUCACUAUUCCUGUUAAGAUUUACUUUAUACUCCAUACUCUUAUGCUUGGAUAAUUAAAUAUGAUGUCUCCAUUCUUUUCUCUUUAUCAUCUAGACUGCUGCAAAUUUUUAAAAGAUGCUUAGGCUUUGACAUGCACUCUAAUUUUUUUCUCUUUAUCCUCUGUUCUGCUGCAAUUUCCGUGCAUCAGUCACAAUACAGACUGCUGGUCUUGGUUACAUGCUUUACAAGUGAGAUCAAUCUUGCCAGAUGGAAGGCCCAUGCCUUACUUCAUGUCCUGAAAUAACAUUGGCUAAACAUGCUUAUCUUAGGUCUACAGUGUGCUAUUGUAUAAAUUGUUUGUCUAUGAAGACCACUGAUUUGGAUAAUAUUUAGAUGAGCCACCGGUACUUUUAUUUCUGAUUGAUGUAUGGAGGAUAAAUCUGUUAUACCAGACUAUAUAUACACCGUUGAUUUCACUGGAACUCAAUGCUACAUUUGGGGAUUCUUUACACUGCAUACGUUUGGGGAUAGUUUAAAUCAUUUAACUGAAUCUGUAAAAAAAAGGGAUCAAACACCUGACGGUAGAUAAAUUGCUCCCAUUAUUUUUUAUAAUGCUAGGCUACAGUUUGGUGUUAUCUUUCAGCACCAACAAUUUGUUUUCUUCUAACAAUAUACUUGAUCUAUAAGUAUGAAAGGUUCAACAUUAGUGUGCUUAUAAUAUUGAUUACACAUUUCGGCUUUUAACCAUAUCUUGGUUUAUUAUGAGUGCAUUAGGAUAUUCUUUGCAUCCACAGAACCCUGGUAGGCACACCUACCUAAAAUGAGUAUGGUGAUCAACUAACCAUACUUCUUGCUUGUUCACGCCGUUUUUUAUGAAGAGUUUUAUGCAGUUUGCAUAAGAUCAUGAGGGUAAUUACCAGUUUUCAUGCAUUUUGCUUACAGGAAAUCUAUUGAGACUCAAGAUUGAAGACAAGGGCAAGAUUUUUCUGAAGGCAAAGAUGUUUCUUUAUUCUGAUACAUGAAUGGGUACUUAUUUUUGCAAAUCAGUAAUAGGCGUUAGAAGCUCCGUAGAUUCCCUAAGUUAAAGCAAGGGAAGCAGCCAUCAGCGAAGAGGUUGCUGCCCCAACGAGUGUUCUCGUGUCGCAUGUCCAAAUUGCAGCAACGCGAGGGGCAUGUGUCCUUUUUACAGCUGUCGUCUUACUGAAGAUUGUUGCCUGAGAGCUUACUUCUACGUGUUUCUGCUGCAGUGCCUAUAUAGAUAAUGAUUGUGGGUUCUUCCUUGCUUUUGUUGCUCUCAGUAGAAUCAAUAAAUGUUAGUUGCUAUAAUAUAUUUUCCUCGGUUAUAUAUAAAUGUUUGUUUUUUAUUUAUAAUUUAUUGUGGUUUGCUACGAUUUUGUAAAACCUAAAAAUAUUUCUUAUCAUUUUCUCAUCUACACAUG
Molecule: non-coding RNA, 2871 nt
Organism: Lolium perenne
Lineage: Eukaryota; Viridiplantae; Streptophyta; Magnoliopsida; Poales; Poaceae
Source: RefSeq, a predicted model, not a curated record